AGGGCACCACCAGGAGUGGAGCCUGCGGCUUAAUUUGACUCAACAGGGGAAAACUCACCCGGCCCGGACACCGUAAGGAUUGACAGACUGAGAGCUCUUUCUUAAUUCGGUGGGUGGUGGUGCAUGGCCGUUCUUAGUUGGUGGAGCGAUUUGUCUGGUUAAUUCCGAUAACGAACGAGACUCUGGCCUAUUAAAUAGUCGGUAUAUCCAGAAAAGUUUACCGUACUUCUUAGAGGGACAAACGGCGUCUAGCCGCGUGAAAUAGAGCAAUAACAGGUCUGUGAUGCCCUUAGAUGUCCGGGGCUGCACGCGCGCUACACUGAAAGAAUCAGUAUGCGCUUUAACCUAGUCCGGAAGGAUUGGGUAACCCGAGCAAAUUCUUUCGUGCUUGGGAUAGGGAAUUGCAAUUAUUUCCCUUAAACGAGGAAUUCCCAGUAAAUGCGGGUCAUAAGCUCGCGUUGAUUACGUCCCUGCCCUUUGUACACACCGCCCGUCGCUACUACCGAUUGGAUGACUUAG
This 519-nucleotide ribosomal RNA is filed under the name uncultured eukaryote. RNAcentral describes it as "SSU rRNA". It matches the Rfam family "Eukaryotic small subunit ribosomal RNA", at positions 1161 to 1701 of the family's 1831-position model. The record is from RNAcentral.